This 466-nucleotide ribosomal RNA is filed under the name uncultured bacterium. RNAcentral describes it as "partial 16S ribosomal RNA". It matches the Rfam family "Bacterial small subunit ribosomal RNA", at positions 28 to 523 of the family's 1533-position model. The record is from RNAcentral.
GAUGAACGCUGGCGGCGUGCCUAACACAUGCAAGUCGAGCGAUCUCUUCGGAGAGAGCGGCGGACGGGUGAGUAACGCGUGGGUAACCUGCCCUGUACACACGGAUAACAUACCGAAAGGUAUACUAAUACGGGAUAACAUACGAAAGUCGCAUGGCUUUUGUAUCAAAGCUCCGGCGGUACAGGAUGGACCCGCGUCUGAUUAGCUAGUUGGUAAGGUAAUGGCUUACCAAGGCAACGAUCAGUAGCCGACCUGAGAGGGUGAUCGGCCACACUGGAACUGAGACACGGUCCAGACUCCUACGGGAGGCAGCAGUGGGGAAUAUUGCACAAUGGGCGAAAGCCUGAUGCAGCAACGCCGCGUGAGCGAUGAAGGCCUUCGGGUCGUAAAGCUCUGUCCUCAAGGAAGAUAAUGACGGUACUUGAGGAGGAAGCCCCGGCUAACUACGUGCCAGCAGCCGCCGUAA